RNAcentral lists this ribosomal RNA (372 nucleotides) under uncultured organism. RNAcentral describes it as "partial 16S ribosomal RNA". It matches the Rfam family "Bacterial small subunit ribosomal RNA", at positions 527 to 896 of the family's 1533-position model. The record is from RNAcentral.
GUAGGGGGCAAGCGUUGUCCGGAAUUAUUGGGCGUAAAGCGCGCGCAGGCGGUUCCUUAAGUCUGAUGUGAAAGCCCACGGGCUCAACCGUGGAGGGUCAUUGGAAACUGGGGAACUUGAGUACAGAAGAGGAGAGUGGAAUUCCACGUGUAGCGGUGAAAUGCGUAGAUAUGUGGAGGAACACCAGUGGCGAAGGCGACUCUCUGGUCUGUAACUGACGCUGAGGCGCGAAAGCGUGGGGAGCAAACAGGAUUAGAUACCCUGGUAGUCCACGCCGUAAACGAUGAGUGCUAGGUGUUAGGGGGCUUCCACCCCUUAGUGCUGAAGUUAACGCAUUAAGCACUCCGCCUGGGGAGUACGGCCGCAAGGCUG